Dreissena polymorpha is the source of this 1845-nucleotide long non-coding RNA. RefSeq lists it as uncharacterized. NCBI's taxonomy places the organism in Eukaryota, Metazoa, Mollusca, Bivalvia, Myida, Dreissenidae. The record is from RefSeq and is a predicted model, not a curated record. The transcript is spliced from 5 exons.
UGGGGUGUGCAUCAGACGCAAAUUCUGUCUAUUAUUGUAAACAAGUUGUUAAAAGUGAACACGUCUGGUUUUGUUAUGAGCACUUCCCACUCAGAGCCCAAAGGUCCUCGCAUUGAAUCGAUGCAAAAAAAGACUUUGAAAAAUGACAGCAGUUGUGUUGUGUGGUCCAGUAAUCCUUUCAACUCUCAACCUGAAGUUUAUCAAAACUCAAACUCAGCCCUUUGCAAUAUCACACCUUGCAACACAGUGUACUUUAUAAUGAAUGUUUCGCAGUUUAAAACACCAAAAUUUCAAUUUAAAGUUUGUGCACGUAACAUAUUGAUACAUUGCUAUUCUGAGUUCUAAUUGCGAUAUCCUAAAUAUCAAUAAUAUAUGAAAUGUUUGGCAUUCAAAAAAGAGGUGUGUAAAGUAAUUUGUUACAGUGCAUAUUUAUUUGUCACUAAAAAGAUCAGAGUUUAGUUUGCUUGUCAUUUCCUUUUAAGCAAACAUUAUUAGACAACAAAACAAACGUUGUUUAAGUGAAAGUGCAAGACAAUUCCGACCCAGUUUGGGCACAAAUACAACAACUAAUUAAAGAAAUUCAGUUUGUCUUGCGUCAUCCUACAUGUAGCAAGCCUCUUAUAAACAUCUCCCAAGUUGGCUACAUCAACGUUUCCAACAACCGAGCUGGGCAUCGACAUAUUGUUCCGAACGAGUCGCUCGAACUGAAACGAUCUGAUCCAACAGAUAGCAGGCUCUGCGUGACUCGUCUGUUAAUGUGACUGACCUGGAUAUGUUGCUUUCCAAUAAUAUGAGCCUUACUCCGGAUUAGCUGUCUGCGAUUGACGCAAUUCAACAACAGUUGUUGUCAGGAAUUUCCGGCUUUGGGAUGGCAAUUUGGCGUCGGGGCUUCAUCUCUGUCUUUGGCCUGGUCGCAGCAGAAGCAGCAACAAGAACAACAAUUAAGCCUGUUCCUACAGGAACCCAUGCAAUCAUAGAUCGGUAAGUAGCUGAACAACAGGCUGUCUGGUCAGCUGGGCCCAGGGCCCAGUGACACUUCCUGGCACAGGACCUUGGGGCCAAUGCUCAACUAGUCCUACCCGCAGGGUGUAGCCACACUGAACCUGGGGCUUCAUACUUUCUUGGCCAGGGGCCAAGAUAUCCUCGUCAAUUAGGGACACAUUCCUGGGAUGCCCUAAGGUCUUUCUAUCUGUUCACUGAGGUCUUAUGCUCACAAGUUCAAGCCCAGUAGCGAUGUCCACAUUAUCAAACUCUGGAUCUCAAUAGAAACCCGGAUAGCAAGGCGUUGAGUUUGUUCUUGAAGCAUUUGCACCAGAAGCAGUCAUCAUCUUGAUAUUCUGGAAUCUCCAUGGUGAAGGACCCUCAGUCUGUGAACAAAAUGCAGAGCGAACCUCAGAUGCCUUUUGACAAAAUCAAACCAUCCAAUCAGAAACACAGACUGUUGCAGCAGUUGUUACCAUAUUGACCCCAGUCAAACCUAAGAAGCUCAGUGAUAAAAACUGAUUUAUCACAACAAUUCAAGUGGAAAGCCACAUGUCAACAACUACAUGUUGUAUGUUGCCAGCCAAGUUGUAUUCAAAGACAAACAAUACUUUAUGCUCUAUUGUGUAUGUGACCAGCCAAGUUGUAUUCAAAGAAAAAGUCAAAACCAAUAGUUUACGUUUUAUUUUUUAUGUGACCAACCAAGUUGUUUGUAUAGGUCCCUGGUUUAGCAAAGCAUUUAAAGUAUUUUUAAAAGCACACAUAUUGCAUGUCUGUUCAAUGUCUUUGCCUGUAUUAUGAAACUUUCACUACAGAUGUUGAUCCUGAUGAUGAUAAAUAAAUGGGAAAUACAAUGUUAUCAAA